AUUGAACGCUGGCGGCAUGCCUUACACAUGCAAGUCGAACGGUAACGGGCCUUCGGGUGCCGACGAGUGGCGAACGGGUGAGUAAUACAUCGGAACGUGCCCGAUCGUGGGGGAUAACGAGGCGAAAGCUUUGCUAAUACCGCAUACGAUCUACGGAUGAAAGCAGGGGACCGCAAGGCCUUGCGCGGACGGAGCGGCCGAUGGCAGAUUAGGUAGUUGGUGGGAUAAAAGCUUACCAAGCCGACGAUCUGUAGCUGGUCUGAGAGGAUGAUCAGCCACACUGGGACUGAGACACGGCCCAGGCUCCUACGGGAGGCAGCAGUGGGGAAUUUUGGACAAUGGGCGCAAGCCUGAUCCAGCCAUGCCGCGUGCAGGAUGAAGGCCUUCGGGUUGUAAACUGCUUUUGUACGGAACGAAAAGCCUUCUUUUAAUACAGGAGGGUCAUGACGGUACCGUAAGAAUAAGCACCGGCUAACUACGU
This 481-nucleotide ribosomal RNA is filed under the name uncultured bacterium. RNAcentral's name for it is "partial 16S ribosomal RNA". It matches the Rfam family "Bacterial small subunit ribosomal RNA", at positions 30 to 506 of the family's 1533-position model. The record is from RNAcentral.